GUUAUACAAAUUUCCAACAUAUAAGUAUAUAACCUAUUGCAUGCCCACUAAUUAAGUGACUCCAGAGUCAUUGUUCAUACAUACAAACAUUAGAUGCAUGGUUUCCAGCUUGUUAUCUUUCAGGUGAUUAUUACUUGUAGGUGUAGCCACCUGCUCCAUUGUACUCUAGUGAAAUCCAAGUCUUUUCCAUUAAUUGACGGGAGGCCAUCCAAUCCAAGCUAGUUUCUCAAUAUGGACUAUUCUGUGGCUUGUUAGUCAAUCAGAUGCAGACCCGAUGCAUGAUCGUUUGCAUGGUCUGAGGUGAGUGAGAUUUCUUUCUUGACAAGCAUCCUAGUGGCGACACAAAUUGGUGGUUGUUUACAUUACCAAUUAAUUAAAUUACUGCACACACAAACUGUAUGAACCAAACAAAAAAAACUCCCCUUGUUGUUCAGAAAAUGAUUCAACUGAAGUGAAAUCAGACAUAACCGCAAAAUCCGGAAGAGCGGCGAAACCUCACCAAACUGGCAGGUGGCAGCAAUCCAAUCCUCGCCUGGAAGAACCGUAUCCAUCUCCUCGCCUCACAUCGCCAACCAACCAAGGAAACAGGGGGACAGGACCCGCUCGCCGUCGACGCAUCUAACUCCGACCCGCCCGCCGCCGCCUGCAGCGGUGCCCUCUCCGUCGGAAUCGCCAGGAUCGGGUCGGAUCACGGACAGUGGCGCACCCACCUACUUCUGGCCCAACCCAAUCUUUUGUUUUUAAUCAUUUCUACAUUUGGCCCAUCUGUUGCGGAGGGCUUUCUUCAGG
This 789-nucleotide long non-coding RNA is filed under the name Brachypodium distachyon (stiff brome). Its description in RNAcentral is "long non-coding RNA (BDIS_LNC002424)". Lineage: Eukaryota; Viridiplantae; Streptophyta; Magnoliopsida; Poales; Poaceae. The record is from RNAcentral.